RNAcentral lists this long non-coding RNA (1665 nucleotides) under Anas platyrhynchos platyrhynchos (common mallard). RNAcentral's name for it is "lncRNA (ENSAPLG00000025719.1)". Lineage: Eukaryota; Metazoa; Chordata; Aves; Anseriformes; Anatidae. The record is from RNAcentral.
UGCCAUCAGCAAGGAGAUUUUGGGAUGGAGCCGGACCCCGGGCACUCAUCACACACCACCGCUGGCACCACCGAGGUCGGCAGGGACCUGGGGGCACCGCGGUGGCCUGGGGGCACACGGUGCCAGUCCCUUGGCCAGGGCACGACACAAAUCCCCCCUGGCCCGCGCCGUACCAGCCCCGUAACAAGGCUGACCGGAUUAUCCCCGCCUGCAUUUAGGUGUAAUUAAACCUCGGAUUAACUCCUUCACAGGGAGAAAAACAACGCGGCCGCAGGCGGGAAGGGACAGGUUCCACAGCUCGUUGCAUCAGGGCCGCGCUGCGCGGGCGUCGCGCACCCUCCCGCCCCGAAAUCCCGGCGGGGCAUCGACGUGGCCGUACCCCACCGGGGUCAUCGCCCGCGGGCUGGGCCGGAGUUCGGCUCGGGUUUGACGGCAGGCGAUAAGAUAAAGCCUCCGACGUUGCCCUCGCAUCAGAUCGAACCCCACGGAGGCCGAUAAAGGUGGGACAGAGGCAACGCCGCUCUUGGCACCGACUCCAAAGGUGGAGGAGGGGGGUGACGGCCACCACCUCGCCCACCCGUGCCUGGAAAAUUGGGGACACCAGGGGCUCCCCGCUUGGCACACGGAUCCCUAACAGGAUGGGGAGCGCUGGCGGGGCUCCAUCCUCCGGGAUGGGAGCAGGCAGCCGAAAGCGGACCCUGGGGAUGCUCCAAGGCCAGGGCCUGGCUUUGGGCCUCGCAGGGUGACAGUGGCGAUGGGCGAUGGGGACCGGUGGUGACCGCUACCGGUGCCGGUGCGCGCCCGGUGCCGGUGGGUACCCAAGGGGGUCCCGGUACCCAAGGGGGGUCCCGGUACCCAAGGGGGUCCCGGUGCCCGUAGCAUCCCCCCCUCGCCAUCAUCCCGGUGCUGGGCUCACCUGGGCCAGCGCCUCCGCUUGCCGUGGGCUCAGGUCCCCGACGCGGCCGCUCAUGGUGCCGGCCCGGCACGGCUCGGCUCGGCACCGCCUCUUAAGGGCAGGUUGCGGCUGCUCCGCCCCGUGCCGCCCCCGGUACGGCUCAGCCCGGCUCGGCUCGGCUCGGUCCCGCAGCCCUUGGACUCUGCCCGCCCCCGGUGGCCGCACGGUGGGAGAUGAGGAGCCUGAGCUGGGCGCUGAGGACAGCUGGAUCGGCGUGGUGCCGCUGGGCGAGGAGCCGGCCGACGGUCCCCGAGGUGCCAAGGAGGAGUCCUUCACUGCCGCCGUGGUCAGCAAGAUGAAGCGAGCCCUGGUGCUCGGGGCAUCGGCACUGCUCAUCCUGGCGCUGAACCAGAACGCCAUCCGAGAGGUAGGGGAGCUCCAGCAGCCCUGCUGGCGCCCUGGAUCCUCUUCUGCAUCACUCACGGGUAUUGGUUUUGUGUUCGGUGCAGCUGGAUGUCUCUCAGCUCCUCGCCAAGCCCAUCAUCGUGAUCCAGUCCUCGGACAACGUCACCAGGCUGCUGGGCGCACUGCUGCGGUGAGAGCUCUCCUGAAGCAGUCGGGUUUGUGCUACGGCCGCUGAAGGGUGGCAGGGCACGGCCAGCACUUGGGGGAAGCACCAGGAGGGAUGGGACAGAAGGGGCCCAAGGGGGUGUCUGGCAUGCUCAGCCUGGCACAGGAGCUGGGGCAUCUGCUGUGCUUUCACAGAUGGG